UACGGAAGGCAGCAGUGGGGAAUAUUGCACAAUGGGCGCAAGCCUGAUGCAGCCAUGCCGCGUGUAUGAAGAAGGCCUUCGGGUUGUAAAGUACUUUCAGUCGUGAGGAAGGUGUUAAGGUUAAUAACCUUAGCAAUUGACGUUAGCGACAGAAGAAGCACCGGCUAACUCCGUGCCAGCAGCCGCGGUAAUACGGAGGGUGCGAGCGUUAAUCGGAAUUACUGGGCGUAAAGGGCACGCAGGCGGUUAAUUAAGUUGGAUGUGAAAUCCCCGGGCUUAACCUGGGAAUGGCAUUCAAGACUGGUUAGCUAGAGUCUUGUAGAGGGGGUAGAAUUCCAUGUGUAGCGGUGAAAUGCGUAGAGAUGUGGAGGAAUACCGGUGGCGAAGGCGGCCCCCUGGACAAAGGGACCUGACGCGUCAUGUGCGAAAGCGUGGGGAGCGAAAC
This 445-nucleotide ribosomal RNA is filed under the name uncultured bacterium. Its description in RNAcentral is "bacterial SSU rRNA". It matches the Rfam family "Bacterial small subunit ribosomal RNA", at positions 340 to 774 of the family's 1533-position model. The record is from RNAcentral.